Molecule: ribosomal RNA, 226 nt
Filed under: uncultured bacterium
Lineage: Bacteria
Description: partial 16S ribosomal RNA
Rfam family: Bacterial small subunit ribosomal RNA
Source: RNAcentral
UGAGCAAUCUGCCCUUCUCAUCGGAAUAAGCGUUGGAAACGACGUCUAAUGCCGAAUACGACCUCCUUUCACAUGAUCGGAGGUGGAAAGCUCCGGCGGUGAAGGAUGAGCUCGCGGCCUAUCAGCUAGUUGGUGAGGUAAUAGCUCACCAAGGCAACGACGGGUAGCCGGCCUGAGAGGGUGACCGUCCACACUGGGACUGAGACACGGCCCAGACUCCUAGUGA